RNAcentral lists this ribosomal RNA (375 nucleotides) under Salmonella enterica subsp. enterica serovar Tennessee. RNAcentral describes it as "bacterial LSU rRNA". It matches the Rfam family "Bacterial large subunit ribosomal RNA", at positions 166 to 579 of the family's 2925-position model. The record is from RNAcentral. Lineage: Bacteria; Pseudomonadati; Pseudomonadota; Gammaproteobacteria; Enterobacterales; Enterobacteriaceae.
AUAGGUUAAUGAGGCGAACCGGGGGAACUGAAACAUCUAAGUACCCCGAGGAAAAGAAAUCAACCGAGAUUCCCCCAGUAGCGGCGAGCGAACGGGGAGGAGCCCAGAGCCUGAAUCAGCAUGUGUGUUAGUGGAAGCGUCUGGAAAGGCGCGCGAUACAGGGUGACAGCCCCGUACACAAAAGCGCAUGUGCUGUGAGCUCGAUGAGUAGGGCGGGACACGUGGUAUCCUGUCUGAAUAUGGGGGGACCAUCCUCCAAGGCUAAAUACUCCUGACUGACCGAUAGUGAACCAGUACCGUGAGGGAAAGGCGAAAAGAACCCCGGCGAGGGGAGUGAAAAAGAACCUGAAACCGUGUACGUACAAGCAGUGGGAG